Molecule: transfer RNA, 75 nt
Filed under: Oligoflexia bacterium
Lineage: Bacteria; Pseudomonadati; Bdellovibrionota; Oligoflexia
Description: tRNA-Cys
Rfam family: tRNA
About the family: Transfer RNA (tRNA) molecules are approximately 80 nucleotides in length.
Source: RNAcentral
GGUGACGUGGCAGAAAGGCUAUGCGCGUGUUUGCAAAAUACGUCUAUGUAGGUUCGAUUCCUAUCGUCACCUCCA